AAAUAGAGCUUUGCAGAGAGAGUUAACAGGGCGUGAAACCGUUAAUUGGCAAACGAAUCGGAGCCACGAAGUCAUUGGUUGUUUGAAUUCAGGUUCCCACUAAACAUGGGGGCUGUAUUUUCUAAACAUCUUAAUGUACACUGCAACCAGUUAGAUUAGUGAUGGGCAUAGUGGGGUUGUAGCUUUCGGGUUACUUCUUCAGCAGCAUCUGUCCGCUUGAAUUAGUAGUAGCGAGGCUUGUUUCGGCGAGUACUUGUUGCUGGAUUUAGGUGGGUGAACUAUUACUUUAGGCUGACUGGUAAAAUGAAAGUCGCUCUUAGGGGCGUGCUAUAAUGCAAUUGCUAAUACUAUUGAUCACCUACUGAACCAUGUGGUUUUAAGCUCAGCUUUUUUGAAUUUGGACUUGCUUGCUACCAGUGGGGCAACCCCUGGUGCUUGUAUAGCUUCCAUCUAAUCGGGAGUUGACUUGGCCGCACGUUGACUGAGGUAGGCUACGAUCGGUUGGUAGUAUGAAGUAAUUUGCCAUUUGAUUGGCAGUGAGUAGGUCGGCUUUCCGAACGACCCGUCUUGAAACACGGACCAAGGAGUCUAAUUAGGCAUCAGUCGAUCAGUCUUGAUAGGCUAGCUUUCAUUAGAAAGAUCGAAGGCGCAGAGAAAUCAAAUCAUGUGAUCGUUUUCAUUAAAAAAAACGCGCAACAUGUGCCUGCGGGAAGGAAUGUUAUUUAUUUAACUUCUCCUGCGGAGCAAAAAGAUACCUGAUUGGUACCCGAAAGAUGGUGAACUAUGCUUGGGCAAGUUGAAGCCAGAGGAAACUCUGGUGGAGGACUGUAGCGGUUCUGACGUGCAAAUCGAUCGUCAGACCUGAGUAUAGGGGCGAAAGACUAAUCGAACCAUC
This 895-nucleotide ribosomal RNA is filed under the name Rhyncaphytoptus betulae. RNAcentral's name for it is "eukaryotic LSU rRNA". It matches the Rfam family "Eukaryotic large subunit ribosomal RNA", at positions 366 to 944 of the family's 3401-position model. Lineage: Eukaryota; Metazoa; Arthropoda; Arachnida; Trombidiformes; Diptilomiopidae. The record is from RNAcentral.